AUAUUCUUAUAUAGUUAGAAAACCGAAUUAUAGCCAUAUUGGCAUUCUCACUAUAAAUGAAGUGUGAGAGAAAUCCAGAGACCUUUGAAAUGGAAAAGCCUGGGAGACUGCAAAGAUUCCACCAGCAGUAGAGGGGAUGGACUGAAAAGGUUUGGAACCUUGGAAAAGGGAACAACCCAGGAGUCAGUUGGUCAGCUCUCUCUUGACUUGAGACUUCUGGAGGAGAGGUCAAUCUAUAAUUGUAUCCUGAUCCAAGAAAUCUUUCCUUCCCUGAACCUGAUCACAAUCCUCCCAAACCAGAUGAAGGUAAUUUAAAAAAAGAAAAUUCAAAGCUGGAUGAGAGCCAGGGAAAUACUUAAAGUAUUGGUCACCCUGUCCUUGAUGAUAUUCUGGAAGUCAGAGAACCCAGUGAAGAUUCCCUAGCUAGGAAAAAUGAAGUCCAGAGAAACAUCUCCACCAAUUCCACAUACUGUUACUGUUGUUGUUUUUGAAGAGGUGCCUUGGCAGGAGUGGUGGCUCAGAACCUGUGAUUUUAUCUGGAUAGGGGACCAGUACUUUUGGUGUGAAAAUUCCCUCUACCAUUCUGUACUGAGCAAAAACAGCUCCUGGAGGUGGAAUUUUGGGGGGAAUCCAGGGAAGACUCAUGGACCUGUAGACUGA
This 660-nucleotide long non-coding RNA is filed under the name Monodelphis domestica (gray short-tailed opossum). Its description in RNAcentral is "lncRNA (ENSMODG00000048921.1)". The record is from RNAcentral. Lineage: Eukaryota; Metazoa; Chordata; Mammalia; Didelphimorphia; Didelphidae.